CAUGAACUUAGCUUGCUAAGUUUGAUGGCGACCNNNNNACGGGUGAGUAACACGUAUCCAACCUGCCGAUGACUCGGGGAUAGCCUUUCGAAAGAAAGAUUAAUACCCGAUGGCAUAGUUCUUCUGCAUGGUAGAACUAUUAAAGAAUUUCGGUCAUCGAUGGGGAUGCGUUCCAUUAGGUUGUUGGCGGGGUAACGGCCCACCAAGCCUUCGAUGGAUAGGGGUUCUGAGAGGAAGGUCCCCCACAUUGGAACUGAGACACGGUCCAAACUCCUACGGGAGGCAGCAGUGAGGAAUAUUGGUCAAUGGACGAGAGUCUGAACCAGCCAAGUAGCGUGAAGGAUGACUGCCCUAUGGGUUGUAAACUUCUUUUAUACGGGAAUAAAGUGAGGCACGCGUGCCUUUUUGUAUGUACCGUAUGAAUAAGGAUCGGCUAACUCCGUGCCAGCAGCCGCGGUAAUACGGAGGAUCCGAGCGUUAUCCGGAUUUAUUGGGUUUAAAGGGAGCGUAGGCGGACGCUUAAGUCAGUUGUGAAAGUUUGCGGCUCAACCGUAAAAUUGCAGUUGAUACUGGGUGUCUUGAGUACAGUAGAGGCAGGCGGAAUUCGUGGUGUAGCGGUGAAAUGCUUAGAUAUCACGAAGAACUCCGAUUGCGAAGGCAGCCUGCUGGACUGUAACUGACGCUGAUGCUCGAAAGUGUGGGUAUCAAA
RNAcentral lists this ribosomal RNA (709 nucleotides) under uncultured bacterium. RNAcentral describes it as "bacterial SSU rRNA". It matches the Rfam family "Bacterial small subunit ribosomal RNA", at positions 68 to 772 of the family's 1533-position model. The record is from RNAcentral.